This 496-nucleotide long non-coding RNA is filed under the name Monodelphis domestica (gray short-tailed opossum). RNAcentral describes it as "lncRNA (ENSMODG00000041085.1)". Lineage: Eukaryota; Metazoa; Chordata; Mammalia; Didelphimorphia; Didelphidae. The record is from RNAcentral.
GAAUGGACUGGGUUACAAUUUUAUGAACUUUGAAAGUGUUGGAAGAACUACCUGAAGUCCAGUAUCUGGAAUCCAACACGAUCUGAUGGUAGCCAUAGCAACAGAGCCUAGUGAGGAGGCAAAGUGUGAGGAGAGACUUCCUUGAACCAAGCAGUAAUUCAGUCCAGUAGUCAAGGCAGCCAUAUGCUAUGGGCAACAGAUCUACUUGUCCAUAGGAUUUGCCACACUCAUAAGUCAUCUUGGUUGGGUUCAUCCUGGAACAUCGAAUACUAGUGUCUUCCUGAUCAAUGAGCUGUUGAAUGAUGGAAAAGGCAUUGCAUUAAAUGCUUGGGAUACAAAGCAAAAGGAGAAAACAGUUCCUGACCUCAAGAAGCUUAUGUUCUAUUGGGGGAGUCAAAAUAUAAAUAAAAAGAUGAGGAAACUUGAGGUGAAGAAAGGUCAGAAUUUGCCCAGAAUCACACAGCUGACAAGUGUUGGCUCCUUGGGAUCCUGAUGU